RNAcentral lists this ribosomal RNA (443 nucleotides) under uncultured bacterium. RNAcentral describes it as "partial 16S ribosomal RNA". It matches the Rfam family "Bacterial small subunit ribosomal RNA", at positions 338 to 795 of the family's 1533-position model. The record is from RNAcentral.
CCUACGGGAGGCAGCAGUAGGGAAUAUUGGGCAAUGGGCGCAAGCCUGACCCAGCAACGCCGCGUGAAGGAAGAAGGCCCUCGGGUUGUAAACUUCUUUUAUUCGAGACGAUACAAAUGGCGGUACCGAAUGAAUAAGCCACGGCUAACUACGUGCCAGCAGCCGCGGUAAUACGUAGGUGGCAAGCGUUAUCCGGAUUUACUGGGUGUAAAGGGCGAGUAGGCGGCGGAGCAAGUCAGACGUGAAAUGCCAGGGCUCAACCCUGGAACUGCGUUUGAAACUGUUCUGCUGGAGUGAUGGAGAGGUAGGCGGAAUGCCGGGUGUAGCGGUGAAAUGCGUAGAUAUACGGAGGAACACCAGUGGCGAAGGCGGCCUGCUGGACAUUAACUGACGCUGAGGCGCGAAAGCGUGGGGAGCAAACAGGAUUAGAUACCCGGGUAGUC